Small nuclear RNA from Delphinapterus leucas (beluga whale), 151 nucleotides. Its record names the gene U1. It matches the Rfam family "U1 spliceosomal RNA". From Rfam's summary of the family: U1 is a small nuclear RNA (snRNA) component of the spliceosome (involved in pre-mRNA splicing). The record is from Ensembl. Lineage: Eukaryota; Metazoa; Chordata; Mammalia; Artiodactyla; Monodontidae.
GUACUUAUACCUGGCAGGAGAGAUACCAUGAUCACAAAGGUGGUUUUCCCAGCGUGAGGCUUAUCCAUCCCACACCUACAAUUUCCCCAAAUGUGGGAAACUUGACUGCAUAAUUUUUGGUAGUGGGGGACUGCUAUCACACUUUCCCCUA